Molecule: ribosomal RNA, 1258 nt
Filed under: Pseudoalteromonas sp.
Lineage: Bacteria; Pseudomonadati; Pseudomonadota; Gammaproteobacteria; Alteromonadales; Pseudoalteromonadaceae
Description: bacterial SSU rRNA
Rfam family: Bacterial small subunit ribosomal RNA
Source: RNAcentral
CUUGCACCUCUGGCGUCGAGCGGCGGACGGGUGAGUAAUGCUUGGGAAUAUGCCUUAUGGUGGGGGACAACAGUUGGAAACGACUGCUAAUACCGCAUGAUGUCUACGGACCAAAGUGGGGGACCUUCGGGCCUCACGCCAUAAGAUUAGCCCAAGUGGGAUUAGCUAGUUGGUGAGGUAAUGGCUCACCAAGGCGACGAUCCCUAGCUGGUUUGAGAGGAUGAUCAGCCACACUGGGACUGAGACACGGCCCAGACUCCUAGCGGGAGGCAGCAGGGGGGAAUAUUGCACAAUGGGCACAACCCUGAUGCACCCAUGCCGCGUGUGGGAAGAAGGCCUUUCGGGUUGAAAAGCACUUUCAGUAAGGAGGAAAGGUUAAGUGUUAAUAGCACUUAGCUGUGACGUUACUUACAGAAGAAGCACCGGCUAACUCCGUGCCAGCAGCCGCGGUAAUACGGAGGGUGCGAGCGUUAAUCGGAAUUACUGGGCGUAAAGCGUACGCAGGCGGUUUGUUAAGCGAGAUGUGAAAGCCCCGGGCUCAACCUGGGAACUGCAUUUCGAACUGGCAAACUAGAGUGUGAUAGAGGGUGGUAGAAUUUCAGGUGUAGCGGUGAAAUGCGUAGAGAUCUGAAGGAAUACCGAUGGCGAAGGCAGCCACCUGGGUCAACACUGACGCUCAUGUACGAAAGCGUGGGGAGCAAACAGGAUUAGAUACCCUGGUAGUCCACGCCGUAAACGAUGUCUACUAGAAGCUCGGGUCUUCGGACUUGUUUUUCAAAGCUAACGCAUUAAGUAGACCGCCUGGGGAGUACGGCCGCAAGGUUAAAACUCAAAUGAAUUGACGGGGGCCCGCACAAGCGGUGGAGCAUGUGGUUUAAUUCGAUGCAACGCGAAGAACCUUACCUACACUUGACAUACAGAGAACUUACCAGAGAUGGUUUGGUGCCUUCGGGAACUCUGAUACAGGUGCUGCAUGGCUGUCGUCAGCUCGUGUUGUGAGAUGUUGGGUUAAGUCCCGCAACGAGCGCAACCCCUAUCCUUAGUUGCCAGCGAUUCGGUCGGGAACUCUAAGGAGAAUGCCGGUGAUAAACCCGAAGAAAGGUGGGGACGACGUCAAGUCAUCAUGGCCCUUACGUGUAGGGCUACACACGUGCUACAAUGGCGCAUACAGAGUGCUGCGAACCUGCGAGGGUAAGCGAAUCACUUAAAGUGCGUCGUAGUCCGGAUUGGAGUCUGCAACUCGACUCCAUGAAGUCGG